Molecule: ribosomal RNA, 382 nt
Filed under: Streptomyces sp. 10.16
Lineage: Bacteria; Bacillati; Actinomycetota; Actinomycetes; Kitasatosporales; Streptomycetaceae
Description: bacterial SSU rRNA
Rfam family: Bacterial small subunit ribosomal RNA
Source: RNAcentral
UAUUGGGCGUAAGAGCUCGUAGGCGGCUUGUCGCGUCGGAUGUGAAAGCCCGGGGCUUAACUCCGGGUCUGCAUUCGAUACGGGCAGGCUAGAGUUCGGUAGGGGAGAUCGGAAUUCCUGGUGUAGCGGUGAAAUGCGCAGAUAUCAGGAGGAACACCGGUGGCGAAGGCGGAUCUCUGGGCCGAUACUGACGCUGAGGAGCGAAAGCGUGGGGAGCGAACAGGAUUAAAUACCCUGGUAGUCCACGCCGUAAACGUUGGGAACUAGGUGUGGGCGACAUUCCACGUUGUCCGUGCCGCAGCUAACGCAUUAAGUUUCCCGCCUGGGGAGUACGGCCGCAAGGCUAAAACUCAAAGGAAUUGACGGGGGCCCGCACAAGCGG